Molecule: ribosomal RNA, 848 nt
Filed under: uncultured bacterium
Lineage: Bacteria
Description: bacterial SSU rRNA
Rfam family: Bacterial small subunit ribosomal RNA
Source: RNAcentral
GAUGAACGCUAGCUACAGGCUUAACACAUGCAAGUCGCGGGGCAGCAUGGCGAUAGCUUGCUAUUGUCGAUGGCGACCGGCGCACGGGUGAGUAACGCGUAUCCAACCUGUCCCUUACCACGGGAUAGCCCGGCGAAAGUCGGAUUAAUACCGUAUGAUUUCCGAAGAAGACAUCUGAUUUGGAACAAAGGCAUUGGCGGUGAGGGUUGGGGAUGCGUCCGAUUAGCUGGUUGGCGGGGUAACGGCCCACCAAGGCGACGAUCGGUAGGGGUUCUGAGAGGAAGGUCCCCCACACUGGAACUGAGACACGGUCCAGACUCCUACGGGAGGCAGCAGUGAGGAAUAUUGGUCAAUGGGCGAAGGCCUGAACCAGCCAAGUAGCGUGCAGGAAGACGGCCCUAUGGGUUGUAAACUGCUUUUAUGCGGGGAUAACGUGUGCCACGUGUGGCAUAUUGCAGGUACCGCAUGAAUAAGGACCGGCUAAUUCCGUGCCAGCAGCCGCGGUAAUACGGAAGGUCCGGGCGUUAUCCGGAUUUAUUGGGUUUAAAGGGAGCGCAGGCCGGCGAUUAAGCGUGCUGUGAAAUGUAGGCGCCCAACGUCUGAAUUGCAGCGCGAACUGGUUGUCUUGAGUACGCUGGAAGUGGGCGGAAUUUGUGGUGUAGCGGUGAAAUGCUUAGAUAUCACGAAGAACCCCGAUUGCGAAGGCAGCAUACCAGUGCGCCACUGACGCUAAAGCUCGAAAGCGCGGGUAUCGAACAGGAUUAGAUACCCUGGUAGUCCGCGCGGUAAACGAUGGAUGCCCGCUGUGCGGCCUUUUAUGGUUGCGCGGCCAAGCGAAAGCGUUAAGC